Molecule: long non-coding RNA, 1990 nt
Filed under: Coffea arabica (coffee)
Lineage: Eukaryota; Viridiplantae; Streptophyta; Magnoliopsida; Gentianales; Rubiaceae
Description: long non-coding RNA (CARA_LNC007889)
Source: RNAcentral
AAGUGCUUCCUCACCUCAGUCCUAUUCCCUAAUCCCAAUUCCUCACCUCAAUCCCUAAUCCCAAUUCCAAAUCAAACCCAUUUGGGUUUCUAAUUCCAGCUAGCGGAAGGUGGAUCUUGAAGCAGAUGCUAAGGUGCAGGCGUGCAGAAGGUAAGAUGUAAUCCUUUUUGUGCUUUGUGGCUUCGCAUACUUUUCAUUCUUUUGUUUAUGAGCUCCUCCAGUUCUAUUCCAGAAUGAAUAUCUACUUGUGGCAAUGCUCUCCUAACUGGUACCCUGUCCGCUUCAAACCAAUCAAUAUUUAGCUCAAGAAGAAGCUAAUCAGGUAAUUUGCAUUUUUUUUAUUUGUGAUUUUGUGAUAUUUUCCCAUGAAGAAUUAGUUAGUCUUGAUGACCAUGAUCCUAAGAAAUAGCUACUGUAGUUUAUAUUGUAUUGUUCUGUUUCUUAAAGACCAUACCUUUAGGAAUUUCUACUUUUCUUGUGCUGAAAAGGGUGUGCGCGCAAGCGCAUGUGUUUUUUUUUUUUCGUUGGAUGAAAUUCUUGGGAAAGACAAGAACAGAGACUAAUUGUAGACUUAGGCCAAUACUUAGCUCUGAUAAAUCCCUCUAUCUUUUUCUUCUGUUUUUAUUCGGUGGGAUGUGAAAUUUUGGAUUUUUGGGUGAAAGGUUGGAGUUUAUGGACUGAAAAUUGGCAGCCCUUUUGAGUAUUCCUACUUAUUUGGGUGACAUUAACAUUAUUCUGGAACUUCAUGUAAUUGUUUCUUGAAAAAGGAAUAGGUGUUUUUUUGUGUGUAGAAUCUAAGCCUUUGGCCCUGGAAGGAUUGUGUAGAAAUCCAAUCCUUGAGAGCAUUCUGAACAUGAUUUCAUGACAUUUGAAUUUCUAGCUUAAAAGAGAGAAUAAACUAAGAAAAAUGCACAUAGCUACAUUGGAGGUGAUCUUGUAUAAGUUCCAGGUAUUCUAGAACAUAACUCAUUUCAAAGGCUGAUUUAACUGUUCUAGUAGUUUCAGUGCAGGGUCAGCCAUUGGAGCUUAAUUGAAAGCAUUUAAUCAUGGUGUUACAACUGCAGAAGUAGUUGGCAUAGAUUGAGUUAGAUCAGAGACAUUUAGUUACUCAAAGCCUUUUACAGACAGAUUUAAGUCUCUUUAAUAUUCAUGUUUUUUUAUCCUCACUGCCUCACCAGAUUCUUCCUGCUGUGUCUCUACGGUAGUAAUUGCAUUCUGCUACAUAAUUAAUUAAUCUUUAUCCUUUUCUUCACUCUUUUCUUAUUGAGUUGUCAUUGCUUUUGGCUUUUGCUUUUAGUGAUCAUUUUAGUGCCAGAAGUCAAAGGCAAUAAUAACACUCACCAGGUGCAGGAGAAGGAUGCUACCAGAAAGAUGACAGACAGACACACACACACAGAAAUAUAGAGAGACAGAGAGAAAACGUAGGAAAUGCUUAUGUGUGCCAGAGAUUGGUGCCAAAACCUUCAUGGAGUGAAAAAAAGAUAGAAAAUAAGUUAAAUUCAAAUUCAUGUGAUUGAUACAAAAUUAGUUUAUUACUUAUUGUUAUUGUUAUUAUUAUUAUUAUUUUGCAGAAAGUGAAGGCAGCAAAAGAGAUUCUACUUCCCAUAAAAUGAAUGUGAUAAUUGGAAAGGUAUAUUGUUUGUAUUUAAUAUUUCGAUUUUUCUUCAAAUAUCUUAUUUUAGAUUUUACUACUACUAUUUAAUUACCUAAAUUAUUUAUUUUAUGUAGGGCCUGGAGUUGAAAAUUUGGAAUCCAUAAGCAAAAGCUGGAAAAGAUGGAAAAGAUUAUUGUGGAAUGGACAACAUGCUACUGUAUUUAAUUGCAGAAUUUGUUUCACAUUUUUAAUUUGAAUGUUGACACUUUGUCUUUGUUUUUCCUGUUUGUGUGACUUGGUGGAUGUUGGUUGUGUGACUUAUCUCUGAAUUUGGAUGUUAGAUUUGAUGUUAAAAUACGGAUGAAUUUGGAUAUUGGUUGCCAUAAUGGCUGAAAA